This 401-nucleotide ribosomal RNA is filed under the name Streptococcus intermedius. RNAcentral describes it as "bacterial SSU rRNA". It matches the Rfam family "Bacterial small subunit ribosomal RNA", at positions 28 to 411 of the family's 1533-position model. The record is from RNAcentral. Lineage: Bacteria; Bacillati; Bacillota; Bacilli; Lactobacillales; Streptococcaceae.
GACGAACGCUGGCGGCGUGCAUAAUACAUGCAAGUAGAACGCACAGGAUGCACCGUAGUUUACUACACCGUAUUCUGUGAGUUGCGAACGGGUGAGUAACGCGUAGGUAACCUGCCUGGUAGCGGGGGAUAACUAUUGGAAACGAUAGCUAAUCCCGCAUAAGAACAUUUACUGCAUGGUAGAUGUUUAAAAGGUGCAAAUGCAUCACUACCAGAUGGACCUGCGUUGUAUUAGCUAGUAGGUGAGGUAACGGCUCACCUAGGCGACGAUACAUAGCCGACCUGAGAGGGUGAUCGGCCACACUGGGACUGAGACACGGCCCAGACUCCUACGGGAGGCAGCAGUAGGGAAUCUUCGGCAAUGGGGGGAACCCUGACCGAGCAACGCCGCGUGAGUGAAGA